Non-coding RNA from Acanthosepion pharaonis, 128 nucleotides. The record is from the annotation of a GenBank genome assembly. Lineage: Eukaryota; Metazoa; Mollusca; Cephalopoda; Sepiida; Sepiidae.
UAGGGCCAUAUCCCUUUGAAAACACUAGUUCCCGUACGAUCACUGAAGUUAAGCAAUGUUAGUACCUAGAUGGGUGAUCUGGUCAGUACCUAGAUGGGUGAUCGCUUGGGAAUACCAGGCGCUGUAAG